AACGAACGCUGGCGGCAUGCCUAACACAUGCAAGUCGAACGAGACCUUCGGGUCUAGUGGCGCACGGGUGCGUAACGCGUGGGAACCUGCCCUUAGGUUCGGAAUAACUCAGAGAAAUUUGAGCUAAUACCGGAUAAUGUCUUCGGACCAAAGAUUUAUCGCCUUUGGAUGGGCCCGCGUAGGAUUAGCUUGUUGGUGGGGUAAUGGCCUACCAAGGCGACGAUCCUUAGCUGGUCUGAGAGGAUGAUCAGCCACACUGGGACUGAGACACGUCCCAGACUCCUACGGGAGGCAGCAGUGGGGAAUAUUGGACAAUGGGCGAAAGCCUGAUCCAGCAAUGCCGCGUGAGUGAUGAAGGCCUUAGGGUUGUAAAGCUCUUUUACCAGGGAUGAUAAUGACAGUACCUGGAGAAUAAGCUCCGGCUAACUCCGUG
This 433-nucleotide ribosomal RNA is filed under the name uncultured bacterium. RNAcentral describes it as "partial 16S ribosomal RNA". It matches the Rfam family "Bacterial small subunit ribosomal RNA", at positions 29 to 507 of the family's 1533-position model. The record is from RNAcentral.